GGAGUCGUGACCCAGUAGUAGAGCAUCUGCUUUGCAUACAGAAGGUCCCAAGUUCAAUUCCUGGAAUUUCCA
Molecule: transfer RNA, 72 nt
Filed under: Sphaerodactylus townsendi
Lineage: Eukaryota; Metazoa; Chordata; Lepidosauria; Squamata; Sphaerodactylidae
Description: tRNA-Ala
Rfam family: tRNA
About the family: Transfer RNA (tRNA) molecules are approximately 80 nucleotides in length. Their secondary structure includes four short double-helical elements and three loops (D, anti-codon, and T loops). Further hydrogen bonds mediate the characteristic L-shaped molecular structure. tRNAs have two regions of fundamental functional importance: the anti-codon, which is responsible for specific mRNA codon recognition, and the 3' end, to which the tRNAs corresponding amino acid is attached (by aminoacyl-tRNA synthetases). tRNAs cope with the degeneracy of the genetic code in two manners: having more than one tRNA (with a specific anti-codon) for a particular amino acid; and 'wobble' base-pairing, i.e. permitting non-standard base-pairing at the 3rd anti-codon position.
Source: RNAcentral